UACGUAGGGUGCAAGCGUUGUCCGGAAUCAUUGGGCGUAAAGAGCGCGUAGGCGGCCCGAUAAGUCCGCUGUGAAAGUCAAGGGCUCAACCCUUGAAUGCCGGUGGAUACUGUCGGGCUAGAGUCCGGAAGAGGCGAGUGGAAUUCCUGGUGUAGCGGUGAAAUGCGCAGAUAUCAGGAGGAACACCAAUGGCGAAGGCAGCUCGCUGGGAUGGUACUGACGCUGAGGCGCGAAAGCCAGGGGAGCAAACGGG
Molecule: ribosomal RNA, 253 nt
Filed under: uncultured bacterium
Lineage: Bacteria
Description: partial 16S ribosomal RNA
Rfam family: Bacterial small subunit ribosomal RNA
Source: RNAcentral